CGCUUAGUCAACCCCAGUUUGUCAUGUUAUUUGACUGAUGGUAUAUCACUUAUGUUUCCAGGCUCUGCUGUAUGUGGAAAUACCAGUAGAGUUUGUCCAUAUGAGUGUGUGCCAUACCUUUUCUCUGGAACAGGCUCUCCCAGCUUCACCUGCGUUUCUCCAACAGGUGAUGACCCAGCGGUGUGUGAUACAACCUAUGCUGGAAUCCUUUCACUUAUAGGUGGGUUUUUAGCAAUUAAUCCAACAUAUUUAGAUCUCUUAUGGUGUAUGUAUACAUCAUCUGUGGAACUGUACAAAAGAUCAUAUCAAUCAGAUGUAAGGAGAGAUUCAAAUGAUAUGUGAUAUAAAUGUGUCAGUGCCUUUAUGGUUUAUAUAGACACAGCAGCUGUUUAUAUGCAAAACAACUGUAACCCUUUAUUUUAAUUUUAAGGUACACAUUGGCCACUAAUUUGUAGUUUAUCAGUCUAUAUAAGUAGCUAAUACAGCAUUUUACAGUGCCUUUGGAAAUUAUUCAGACUCCUGACUUUUUCCACAUUUUGUUACAUUACAGCCUUAUUCUAUAAUUGACUAAAUCGUUUUUUUUCUCAAUUUCUUCUUCUUUUUUUUUCUUUUUUUUUUUACAAAUGUAGUUCAAAUAAACUGAUCCCAUUUACUUAGAUAUUCAGACCCUUCACUCAGUACUUUGUUGGCACACCUGUAUUUGGGGAGUUUCUCCCAUUCUUCUCUGCAGUUCCUCUCAAGCUUAGGGUCGUUGUUCUAUUGGAAGGUGAACCUUCGCCCCCAGUCUGAGGUCCUGAGCGCUCUGAAGCAGGUUUUAAUCAAGGAUCUCUCUGUACUUUGCUCUGUUCAUCUUUGCUUCGAUCCUGACUAGUCUCUCAGUCCCUGCCGCUGAAAAACAUCCCCACAGCAUGAUGCUGCCACCACCAUGCUUCACUGUCGUGACGCUUGGCAUUCAGGCCAAAGACUUCAAUCUUGGUUUCAUCAGACCAGAGAAUCUUGUUUCUCAUGGUCUGAGAGUCUUUCGGUUCCUUUUGGCAAACUCCAAGCGUCUGUCAUGUGCCUUUUACUGAGGAGUGGCUUCUGUCUGGCCACUACUAUAAAGGCGGAGGAGUGCUUCUGAGAUUGUAGUCCUUCUGGAAGUUUCACCCAUCUCCACAGAGGAGCUCUGUCAGUGACAUAUCACUGCCAAAGGCUGUACUUGCUGCCAAAGGUGCUUCAACAAAGUACUGAGUAAAGUGUCUGAAUACUUAUAUAAAUGUGAUAAUUCAAUUUUUUGUUCUUAAUAAAUUAGCAAAAAUUUCUGAACUAGUUUUGUCUUUGUCAUUAUGGGGUAUUGUGUGUAGAUUGGGGGGGGGGGGCAUUUAAUCAAUUUUAGAAUAAGGAUUUAAUAUAACAAAAUGUGGAAAAAGUAAAGGUCUGAAUACUUUCCGACUGCACUGUACGAAUUUUAUAUCUUAACUUUUUGACAACCAAGGUAACAUUUUCUGAAGGCUACAGCAUUGACCCGUUGAACCGAAACUGCCGUUAGUGCCGUUAGUGACAUGAUACAGCGCACUGGCUGGCUCGUGUGUGUGUGGUGUGGCAAUGCACUACCAUUUUGAGUGCAGCACGUUGGCAGUACUUGCUGUGACUUGUUGUGCAAUGCAGCGCAUCAUGGGCCAAAAAUGAAUUUACAAUACAAAUCAUUGCGUGGCCAGAUAGAAAUGUCACGGGCCGAAUUCGACCAAUGGCCCUUGUUUGACACGUGCCUUAGUUCUACAUUGAGACAGCAUACUUAUUCUGUUUCUUGUAAUAAAGAAAUGUACACACCAAACAAAAAUAUAAACGCAAUAUGUAAAGUGUUGGUCACAUGUUUCAUAAGCUGAAAUAAAAUAUCCCAGAAAAUAUCCCAGAAAUGUUUCAGAAAUGUUUAUGCAUGUUUCAUAUGCAUAAAACGCUUAUUUGUCUACACAAAUGUAUUUACAUCCCUGUUAGUGAGAAUUUCUCCUUUGCCAAGAUAAUCCAUCCACCUGCCAGGUGUGGGAUAUGAAGAAGCUUAUUAAAUAGCAUGAUCAUUACUCAGUACACCUUGUGCUGGGGGCAAUGAAAGGCCAUUCUAAAAUAUGCAGUUUUGUCACACAAUACCACAGAUGUCUCCAAUUUUGAGUGAGCAUGCAUGCUGACUGCAGAAAUGUCCACCAGAGCUUUUGCCAGAGAAUUGAAUGUACAUUUCUCUAGCAUAAGCCGCCUCAAGUCAUUUCAGAGAAUUUGGCAGUACGUCCAACCGCAGACCGCGUGUAUAGUAUCGCCUGGACGAGGGGUUUGCUGAUGUCAAAGUUGUGAGCACAGUGCCACAUGGUGGCGGUGGGGUUAUGGUAUCGGCAGGCAUCAGCUACAGACAACAAUUGUAUUUUAUCAAUGGCAAUUUGAAUGCACAGGGAUACGGUGACCAGAUCCUGAGGCCCAUUGUUGUGCCAUUCAUCCGCCGCCAUUCAAUAUAAUAAUGCACAGCCCCAUGUCGCAAGGAUCUGUACACAUUUCCCGGAAGCUGAACUUUUUCCAGUUCUUCUAUGGCCUGCGUACUCACCAGACAUGUCACCCAUUGAGCAUGUUUGGAAUGCUCUGUACGACAGCGUGUUCCAGUUCCUGCCCAUAUCCAGCAACUUCACACAGCCAUUAAAGAGUGGGACAACAUUCCACCAGCCACAACAGCCUGAUCAACACUAUGCGAAGGAGAUGUGGUGCUGCAUGAAGUAAAUGGUGGUCACACCAGAUACUGACUGGUUUUCUUAUCCACGGCCCAAUUUUCUUUUUUUUGGGGGGGGGGGGUCCAUAGAUCAGGGCCUAAUUUAUUUAUUUCAAUCGACUGAUUUCCUUAUGAACUGUAACUCAUUAGUCUUUGAAAUUCUUGCGUUAUAUUUUUGUUCAGUAUAAAUGUCUAUAUUAAGGAUUGGCCAGUAAAUCAUGAUUUUGAAUAUGAACACGAUUAAGGCCUAAUAUAUCGAUCGCUUGGGACUGACUAUGUUCUAUCUGCAUUUUGGUCAGAAUUUCAUUAUCGACAGCCUUGUUCCUCUACCUUGUUUCUCUACCAAUAUAGUACUCAAAAUACCCCUGUUAAUGUUCAAAAGAAUACAAGAUAAAAAUCUGACAAUAUUCAAACCAACAAAGGUUUCUGAACUUUAAAGCCAAUUAUCUCAGAAUCAUCUUUUUGCAGAUAGUACCUUAAAAUCCAAAGCUCUCGAUGGCUAAUAAGACAUAUGUAUUAACAUAUGUAAACGCACAUUUAAACUAUACAUUAGUGGUAGUACUUUAUUAUUGUUUAAUAUAAAAUCUUACCUCAAACUAACCGCUCUAUAUUCUGCCCGGUGGUGGUGGAGGGAUGCGUUCAAGCCCUCCAGGACACUCGCCUUCCAAGAUUUCUCCCUGAAAGAGUCCCAGGAUCCACUGUCAAGGUAAGCCCUGCCAUUGAAC
This 3450-nucleotide long non-coding RNA is filed under the name Oncorhynchus mykiss (rainbow trout). RNAcentral's name for it is "lncRNA (ENSOMYG00000051956.1)". Lineage: Eukaryota; Metazoa; Chordata; Actinopteri; Salmoniformes; Salmonidae. The record is from RNAcentral.